This 326-nucleotide long non-coding RNA is filed under the name Medicago truncatula (barrel medic). RNAcentral's name for it is "long non-coding RNA (MTRU_LNC002671)". The record is from RNAcentral. Lineage: Eukaryota; Viridiplantae; Streptophyta; Magnoliopsida; Fabales; Fabaceae.
UUUUGGUGGUUCAGGCUUCGGCUCAGGUGGUGGAGGUGCAGGCUUUUCUUUGGGUUUCUCAGGCUCUUUGGGCUUUUCAGGCUCCUUGGGCUUUUCAGGUUCUUUGGGCUUCUCAGGCUCCUUUGGUUUUUCAGGGUUUUUUGGCUUCUCUGGUUCUUUGGGCUUUUCAGGCUCUUUGGGCUUGACGGGUUCCUUGGGCUUUUCUGGUUCUUUAGGCUUGGGAGGUGGAGGAGGUUCGACAAUUUCUAUGCUUUUGAUGGCACCACAACCUUUGCAACAAAUCUUGUCUCUUAUCUUCUCGGGGCUACAACAAACCACUGUGAUUG